This 111-nucleotide unclassified non-coding RNA is filed under the name uncultured fungus. RNAcentral describes it as "sequence contains ITS1". It matches the Rfam family "5.8S ribosomal RNA", at positions 50 to 154 of the family's 154-position model. From Rfam's summary of the family: 5.8S ribosomal RNA (5.8S rRNA) is a component of the large subunit of the eukaryotic ribosome. It is transcribed by RNA polymerase I as part of the 45S precursor that also contains 18S and 28S rRNA. The record is from RNAcentral. Lineage: Eukaryota; Fungi.
GAAAUGCGAUACUUGGUGUGAAUUGCAGAAUCCCGUGAACCAUCGAGUCUUUGAACGCAAGUUGCGCCCGAAGCCAUUAGGCCGAGGGCACGCCUGCCUGGGUGUUAAAAU